Long non-coding RNA from Pezoporus flaviventris, 599 nucleotides. RefSeq lists it as uncharacterized. Lineage: Eukaryota; Metazoa; Chordata; Aves; Psittaciformes; Psittacidae. The transcript is spliced from 3 exons. The record is from RefSeq and is a predicted model, not a curated record.
GCCUCAUGAGGAAGGCAGGCGCUGUGGGAUCAGGGAGGAGAGCCCCGUGGGACAUGCCAAGGGUGAGUUCUCAUCGCUGUGAGGAACCAAGGGCACUGACUGCACCCUCCUGCGGUGCUGUGGCUUCGCAGGUUCUCCAGAGCUGGGGACAUUCCGUUUUACAGACUGCAUCCGUUUCCUUGGACCAGGUGGGAUUAGAGGGGUUGAAGAGCAAGUUGGGAGAUAGCAGGGACCUCGGUUCAGAGUGCAGAGCCGCUGUCCCUGCGAUGCUGCCUGCAGCCUGGCAGUGUCUCUUGCAGAUUCCUCUGCAGAGGCUGCCUGGAGACACUGCUCCUCUUCCCCUGCUUGUAUUAAAGGGCCCAUAAAAGGGGGCGAGGAACCUGCCGACCCCGAGGGCAGGCUGCUCUGCUGGUGAACGCGGAGGAAGCAGCAGGCGGGACGGCUCUGCACUGGAAGAAGGAGGCAGGGAGAGGGGAAAGCAUCGCUCCGAGGGAGAGCCGCAAGCGAAGGAGCUCCGAGAAUGACAAAGGCAGCCGAGCACUCACCCGCACUCCGCGCUCCUGGGACCUCCCGCUCAGCUCCAGCCCAGGCUGGUCCUG